UACGUAGGGCGCAAGCGUUGUCCGGAAUUAUUGGGCGUAAAGCGCUCGCAGGUGGUUCGUUGCGUCGUGCGUGAAAGACCCCGGCUCAACUGGGGAGGGUCGUGCGAUACGGGCGGACUGGAGGCCAGUAGGGGGAUGCGGAAUUCCGGGUGUAGUGGUGGAAUGCGUAGAGAUCCGGAGGAACACCAGCGGCGAAGGCGGCAUCCUGGACUGGUCCUGACACUCAGGAGCGAAAGCGUGGGGAGCGAUCCGG
Molecule: ribosomal RNA, 253 nt
Filed under: uncultured bacterium
Lineage: Bacteria
Description: partial 16S ribosomal RNA
Rfam family: Bacterial small subunit ribosomal RNA
Source: RNAcentral